Molecule: ribosomal RNA, 250 nt
Filed under: uncultured prokaryote
Description: partial 16S ribosomal RNA
Rfam family: Bacterial small subunit ribosomal RNA
Source: RNAcentral
UACGGAGGGUGCGAGCGUUAAUCGGAAUUACUGGGCGUAAAGCGCAUGUAGGCCGUGUGGCAAGUUAGGGGUGAAAUCCCAGGGCUCAACCUUGGAACUGCCUCUAAAACUACCAUGCUUGAGUGCGAGAGAGGACAGCGGAAUUCCAGGUGUAGGAGUGAAAUCCGUAGAUAUCUGGAAGAACAUCAGCGGCGAAGGCGGCUGUCUGGCUCGUAACUGACGCUGAGAUGCGAAAGCGUGGGUAGCAAAC